CAGACCUCUAAUCGGAAAGACUACCC
RNAcentral lists this ribosomal RNA (26 nucleotides) under Distichophyllum sp. B (Long 33796). RNAcentral describes it as "partial 26S ribosomal RNA". Lineage: Eukaryota; Viridiplantae; Streptophyta; Bryopsida; Hookeriales; Daltoniaceae. The record is from RNAcentral.